GACGUUAAGACCACGCUGGUUUCACUGUCGAAAGAGCUAGUUACUGUCACGAUUAUUAUUCUUUUCUGUGUUUCGUGAAGCCAUUUAUUCAGCUUUUUCAGCUCGUUUUCUGUUCUGAGCUGUCAGUUCAAACCCUAUUCUGAGUGCUUUUGCUUGCCUAGCAUUGGCUUCAUAUCUAUAUUCCCUGUCUGUGUGCAUAUUGGUCUGGGUGACUCCUCACAUUUUCUCGUGUCAUCCCAGACAUCACACGUAUGUCAGUUCACUGUAUGUCAACACAGUUUGAGUCCUACACAUA
Molecule: long non-coding RNA, 295 nt
Organism: Daphnia pulicaria
Lineage: Eukaryota; Metazoa; Arthropoda; Branchiopoda; Diplostraca; Daphniidae
Exons: 4
Source: RefSeq, a predicted model, not a curated record